Molecule: long non-coding RNA, 1916 nt
Filed under: Salmo salar (Atlantic salmon)
Lineage: Eukaryota; Metazoa; Chordata; Actinopteri; Salmoniformes; Salmonidae
Description: lncRNA (ENSSSAG00000098857.1)
Source: RNAcentral
GGACAAGUCAGCCAGCCAGCCCCCAGAAUAGUCUCCGGUGCGUUAAACACUGACACUGUGUCAGAGCCUGUGAAUGACCUAAUCAGUGUUUCUUUUGUGAUCAACCAUUGAGAUUCAAGGAGGCCUGUGUUCCUAACGGUCCAUUCUUCUCUCUGGAAUUGAGCGCAAUCUGAAUCCUCUACCUUGCUCUCUGAAGAGGGCACUUGGUCACCAACACCUUAUGUAAGGAGUCAAAAGCAUGGGAGUGGUGUAAGCAUAGGCUAAACAUGAUUCCCAGUUCCCACCAUAUUUCCUUUCUCUCACCCCUUAUCUUUUAAUCCAUACGGCAGAGUGAAGAGUACACACUGUCUUCAAAGAGAAGGGUAAAGAAUUGGAUGGCAGCCCGACUCUCUCUUCCCAGGUCAAAGAGGUUGUUAGUUGUUGCUAUGCAGAGAUAGACUGCCACCUACUGGACUGGUCUGGUCACAGCUGUAAUUUUCCUUUCUAGCAUUAGAGGGCGCUUGUCAAACUACUGAACAUAGCUUUUUACAAUGAGGCAAAGUGAUCAGACUUUCUAAACAGAAAAAGUUGCACAUACAUAAAGUUCUCAAAUCUCUCCAGUUAAAAACAUUUAAUCACACAGUUCAACACAGACCACAGCGAUAAAGGAGUGAGAAAUGGGUUGGGAAGUAACACUCUUAGGAAGGAAGAGAGGGCCAAUCAUAUUCACCAUAAUGAAUCUAUCACUGUCACUCACCGCUACUGUCAACUAUUCAUGCACAUCAACACUGACAAAAACAAAUGGGCAGAUUCACACUAAUUUACUCACACUGAAAAUUAACAAUGAAAAAGGCAUUAAUUCCAGGGAUUUUUUUUAGGACCAAAGAUCUUGUCAAGUGGUUAAUUAAUCUGAUUUUUUAGGACUAAAUGAUAACAUUUUAGUUCCUUAUAUAGGACAGAAUGCAUUAAAUCUCCACUUGUUCCAAACUAACAGAUGACCAAUGAGAUUACUGAUAUUGUUUGCAGUCAAUCAAUGGUAAAUGAAUCUAUGCGGUACAGACUGGACCAUGCUACUGUGUACUGCUGCCAGACAGACAUCCCUGGAUCGAGAUUAAAGCUCUUAGUCACAUCCAUUCUCCAUCUGAUAAGACUAGGCCCGUCUCACUGUCCCUCACUCUAAAUAAAUAUCUAGAAAUCUAUCGCUAGCUAUAUUUGUGUGCAUAUUGGUUACCCAUAAAGGAGCAGGAGGAAGUUACCCCCUAGACACUGAUCUAAGGUCAAUUGUACAUUUCUUCCAUCUAAUAGGAUUGGAGAAGCUGGUUGAAGGAUGAGCUGAUCCCAGAUCUGUGCUUACUGGGCAACUUCUAACCCGGUGAAGGUAUAUAUACACACCUAGGCCUAUAUGUGAAUAUGUACAAACAGCGCAGCAGUUAUUCUUCUAUGUUCUAGGUAUGUCCAGCAGGUGUGCAUCAUCUGAGCUUGGGGAAGAUCCUGAUGAAGAGGAUCAUACUGAUGAAAGUGAAGGAGACCAGGAUGAGCAUCAGCCACAGGGUCCAGUUGACCGACUUCUUGGUGUGCUGCUCCAAACGCUCCGACUCAACCUUCAGCUUCUCGAAGUUGGUGUCUGCCUGCCGCAUAGACUGGGUCAGGGUCUGAGUGAGAGAGGAGAAAAACAUACCUAUUAGAUCAGAUCCUCUGCUGUGGCUGAAGGAUAGACUAGGUCAGAGAGACAGGAUACUAUGAAUAUUUCUGCUGUGGCUGAAGGAUAGACUAGGUCAGAGAGACAGGAUACUAUGAAUAUUUCUGCUGUGGCUGAAGGAUAGACUGGGUCAGAGAGACAGGAUACUAUGAAUAUUUCUGCUGUGGCUGAAGGAUAGACUGGGUCAGAGAGACAGGAUACUAUGAAUAUUUCUGCUGUGGCUGAAGGAUAGACUGGG